GGAGAGGUGGCAGAGCGGUUGAUUGCAGCUGUCUUGAAAACAGCCAGGUGCUGAGCCUCGUGGGUUCGAAUCCCACCCUCUCCG
RNAcentral lists this transfer RNA (84 nucleotides) under Chloroflexota bacterium. RNAcentral describes it as "Chloroflexi bacterium (groundwater metagenome) tRNA-Ser". It matches the Rfam family "tRNA". Rfam says of the family: Transfer RNA (tRNA) molecules are approximately 80 nucleotides in length. Their secondary structure includes four short double-helical elements and three loops (D, anti-codon, and T loops). The record is from RNAcentral. Lineage: Bacteria; Bacillati; Chloroflexota.